GGUUUGGGUGGGAAAUGGGUUGUGUCCCAUGUUAACCUAAAUCAUGUUUUCCUCUUUACAUUCCAGAGUCAUACUUGAGGCCAGGCUCGAAUCCUGCCUUCCUUUGGUGGCUCUGAGAUUCAGGGCUGGCUUUUCUGAGAAUACCCAAGUGAGGUGCCUUGGGAUGUCCCUGACUUGGAGACACAGAGGAGGCUGGGCACCCCUUUUCCCCGACUCACUGAGCCAGAUAUUGUGAGCCCUGGAGGACACAAAUUACAGCUUAGGGGCCUGGAGCAUGAUUCUGGAGCCAGGCUUCCUGGGCUGGAGUCCAUGCCCUGCCCACGGUGGCUGGCGAUGCUUUGGGGAUCCUCUCGGAGCCUCGGUUUCCUCUUCGAAAGAGUGGUUGUGCAGAGUGAGAGAGCAUCUUCCUGUGGACGAUUCAGCUGGUGUCUCAGCCCACAGUGAGUGAAGAACCAGGGGGUCUCACAGAGCCCUGACUCAGGCCUGGGGGGACCCCUACCUCCAAGCAAUUCUACCCACCCCCCACCCGCCGCUGCUUCUUGCCUCUUCUAGAAGAGAGGAGGGUGGCGGUACGGCUGGAGGGGGAAGAAAAUCUGUUUCCCAAAGCCUCCGGGUGACUCAGCCAGAGAGAGACCAAGGGCGCUCAGUAGCCCCGCCUGCCACUCCAUCUGGUGGCCUCAGGACAGACAGGCGGCUUGGGCUUUCAGCUUCCUCACCUGGGCAGUGCAGGUGAGAGCACCCCACUUCCCACUCCAUGGGCAGGUAACACCUUCCUGCUCUGAAAAAGGGAAAACAUCUCCACCUUCCCCAGAGGCUGCACGGCCAGAGGUCACAGUGAGGCGGCCACAAGCCCCGGGCUCUCGCUCUGAGGGGACACUGUCCCAACAAGAGGCCCCUCACAGUCUGGCCUGACCCUGGCUCUGUGGCCCCUCCUUCUCCUGAUCAGGCCCCUCCCAGGUCUACCAGGAACUCUGGCUGCCCCCUGACCCCACUGCUGCAGCCCCAACCCUAGGUCUGCACAAAGACUUCGGGACGUCCAGUGAGCCCCUGGGUCCUGGACCCCUCUUCCUCCUCCAGCCCCUCCUCUCCCAGCUGCUCCUGGCUGCCCUUUAACUGCUCAGAGCCGUUCAGCAACCUGGCAUGUAGCUGGUACAUAAGUGGUUGUUGGUUGGAGUCGAGUGAGUGAGGAGGAGAUGCUAGAAAAAGCGAAAGGUGCCAUGGUGCCAGCAGGGAGCAGGUGCUGGGGUGUGAGUGCUGCGGAAUGAAUGUGUCCUGGGAUGCUGGGAGCAGGUGUGGGGUGUGAGUGCCACUGAACGAAUG
This 1320-nucleotide long non-coding RNA is filed under the name Macaca mulatta (Rhesus monkey). Its description in RNAcentral is "lncRNA (ENSMMUG00000063151.1)". Lineage: Eukaryota; Metazoa; Chordata; Mammalia; Primates; Cercopithecidae. The record is from RNAcentral.